GGUUUUGAAGUUUUGAAGCUUAAAAGGGAGUUUUGGAGCUUGGAGGCUUUUGGAGCUUGGAUCCUCCACACCUCCGAGUUAGGGAUCACACCACCCCUCGAUCUUCAAGAGGUAAGUGUAGAUCCUUGCUUCCCUACUGUUUUUAAUGAAAUUUUAGUGAGUUUAAGGAUGUUUUGAAGGUUGAGUAUGGGUAGAUAUGCAUGUAGGGUUUAUGUGGGUUUUAUACCCAAUGCAUGUUUAUGUGAUGUUAUGUUGAAAGUUUAAGUUAGUUUAUACAUGUGGGAGAGUGUAUGCAUGAUUGGGAAAGAGCAAGUGAGAUUAUGGGGUGUUUUGAUGAUUUUGGCCUAUGUGGGUCAUAAGCUAUCUAUGCAUGCUUUGGAUGUUGUUUUUGGAGUUUAAAAUCUAGUUGUUAAGCUCCUUUAUGCAUGACUAAGGGUUUAUGCUUGAUUUUGAGAAGUUUAUGUAUGUUUUUAGAGGUUGGAUGCUUGUUUUGGGGGUUUGGGAGGCUUGUAUGCACAAGGGCUGAGUUCUGGAAGAACUCAGGUUCGGCCGCCGAAGGUGGUUUCGGCCGCCGAACAUGCCUAUGGAUGCAUGAAUUGGCCGCCAAACCUUACCCCCGAAAGUU
Molecule: long non-coding RNA, 625 nt
Filed under: Manihot esculenta (cassava)
Lineage: Eukaryota; Viridiplantae; Streptophyta; Magnoliopsida; Malpighiales; Euphorbiaceae
Description: long non-coding RNA (MESC_LNC001850)
Source: RNAcentral